AUACGGAGGAUCCGAGCGUUAUCAGGAUUUAUUGGGUUUAAAGGGUGCGCAGGCGGCCAUUUAAGUCAGCGGUUAAAUCGUGGGGCUCAACCCCAUUCUGCCGUUGAUACUGGGUGGCUUGAUUGCGGUCGAGGUGGGCGGAAUUCGUUGUGUAGCGGUGAAAUGCAUAGAUAUGACGAAGAACACCGAUUGCGUAGGCAGCUGACCAGACCGCAAAUGACGCUCAUGCACGAAAGUGCGGGGAUAGAACAGGAUUAGAUACCCUGGUAGUCCGCACAGUAAACGAUGAAUACUUGUUUUCGGCGAUAUAAUGUCGGAGGCAAAGCGAAAGCGAUAAGUAUUCCACCUGGGGAGUACGCCGGCAACGGUGAAACUCAAAUGAAUUGGCGGGG
This 392-nucleotide ribosomal RNA is filed under the name uncultured bacterium. RNAcentral describes it as "partial 16S ribosomal RNA". It matches the Rfam family "Bacterial small subunit ribosomal RNA", at positions 523 to 918 of the family's 1533-position model. The record is from RNAcentral.